This 450-nucleotide ribosomal RNA is filed under the name uncultured bacterium. RNAcentral's name for it is "bacterial SSU rRNA". It matches the Rfam family "Bacterial small subunit ribosomal RNA", at positions 354 to 796 of the family's 1533-position model. The record is from RNAcentral.
GUGGGGAAUAUUGGACAAUGGGGGAAACCCUGAUCCAGCGACGCCGCGUGGGUGAAGAAGGCCUGCGGGUUGUAAAGCCCUUUCGGUAGGGACGAAAGCUCUUGCUCCAACAAAGCAGGAGGUUGACUUAACCUACAUAAGAAGCACCGGCUAACUCUGUGCCAGCAGCCGCGGUAAUACAGAGGGUGCGAGCGUUAAUCGGAAUUACUGGGCGUAAAGCGCACGUAGUCGGCUUGUCAAGUCGGGUGUGAAAUCCCCGGGCUCAACCUGGGAACUGCAUCCGAAACUGACUUGCUAGAGUAUGGGAGAGGGAGGCGGAAUUUCUGGUGUAGCAGUGAAAUGCGUAGAUAUCAGAAGGAACAUCAGUGGCGAAGGCGGCCUCCUGGACCAAUACUGACGAUCAGGUGCGAAAGCGUGGGGAGCAAACAGGAUUAGAAACCCUUGUAGUCC